GAUGAACGCUAGCUACAGGCUUAACACAUGCAAGUCGAACGAAGCACCUUGAUUUGAUUCUUCGGAUGAAGAUCUUGGUGACUGAGUGGCGGACGGGUGAGUAACGCGUGGGUAACCUGCCUCAUACAGGGGGAUAACAGUUAGAAAUGACUGCUAAUACCGCAUAAGACCACAGCACCGCAUGGUGCAGGGGUAAAAACUCCGGUGGUAUGAGAUGGACCCGCGUCUGAUUAGGUAGUUGGUGGGGUAACGGCCUACCAAGCCGACGAUCAGUAGCCGACCUGAGAGGGUGACCGGCCACAUUGGGACUGAGACACGGCCCAAACUCCUACGGGAGGCAGCAGUGGGGAAUAUUGCACAAUGGGGGAAACCCUGAUGCAGCGACGCCGCGUGAGCGAUGAAGUAUUUCGGUAUGUAAAGUUCUAUCAGCAGGGAAGGAAAUGACGGUACCUGACUAAGAAGCCCCGGCUAACUACGUGCCAGCAGCCGCGGUAAUACGUAGGGGGCAAGCGUUAUCCGGAUUUACUGGGUGUAAAGGGAGCGUAGACGGCAUGGCAAGCCAGAUGUGAAAGCCCGGGGCUCAACCCCGGGACUGCAUUUGGAACUGUCAGGCUAGAGUGUCGGAGAGGAAAGCGGAAUUCCUAGUGUAGCGGUGAAAUGCGUAGAUAUUAGGAGGAACACCAGUGGCGAAGGCGGCUUUCUGGACGAUGACUGACGUUGAGGCUCGAAAGCGUGNGGAGCANACAGG
Molecule: ribosomal RNA, 748 nt
Filed under: uncultured bacterium
Lineage: Bacteria
Description: bacterial SSU rRNA
Rfam family: Bacterial small subunit ribosomal RNA
Source: RNAcentral